GCCAGGUGUGGUGGUGCACACCUGUAGUCCCAGCUACUCGGGAGGCAGAGGUGGGAGGAUUGCUUGUGCUCAGGAGGUCAAGACUGCAGUGAGCUAUGAUUACGCCACUGCACUCCAGCCUGAGUGACAGAGUGAGACCUUGUCUGUC
Unclassified non-coding RNA from Callithrix jacchus (white-tufted-ear marmoset), 148 nucleotides. It matches the Rfam family "Metazoan signal recognition particle RNA". From Rfam's summary of the family: The signal recognition particle (SRP) is a universally conserved ribonucleoprotein. Lineage: Eukaryota; Metazoa; Chordata; Mammalia; Primates; Cebidae. The record is from Ensembl.